RNAcentral lists this ribosomal RNA (253 nucleotides) under uncultured bacterium. RNAcentral describes it as "partial 16S ribosomal RNA". It matches the Rfam family "Bacterial small subunit ribosomal RNA", at positions 524 to 776 of the family's 1533-position model. The record is from RNAcentral.
UACGUAGGGGGCAAGCGUUGUCCGGAUUUAUUGGGCGUAAAGAGCGUGUAGGCGGCCUGGUAGGUCAGCUGUGAAAACUCGAGGCUCAACCUCGAGACGCCGGUUGAAACCAUCAGGCUAGAGUCCGGAAGAGGAGAGUGGAAUUCCAGGUGUAGCGGUGAAAUGCGCAGAUAUCUGGAAGAACACCCGUGGCUAAGGCGGCUCUCUGGGACGGUACUGACGCUGAGACGCGAAAGCGUGGGGAGCGAACAGG